GUUGAGAUCCAUUUUUGUCAGAUGACUAUCCUUGCUGACUUGUACCAUAAGCAACAAUAUCUCACCAUCAUUUCGGACUUUAGUCUUUUGCUUCGCGUUUCGCGAAACAUCAAAGCUUCUUGUGCAUACUCCAUCUUCAAAGUGUCUUUUCCACCCAGCAAUGAUUCUACAAAAUUCUCAUAUGAGUCGGGGAGUGAAGUAAGAAGCAAUAAAGCCCUAUCUUCUUUCUCAAUCUUCAUAUUAACUUUUGCUAGUUUACUUAAAAUCCCAUUGAACUUGUUCAAAUGCUCCACCAGAUUGCCACUCUCUACCAUCUUCAGUUUGU
This 325-nucleotide unclassified non-coding RNA is filed under the name Hevea brasiliensis (rubber tree). The record is from RNAcentral. Lineage: Eukaryota; Viridiplantae; Streptophyta; Magnoliopsida; Malpighiales; Euphorbiaceae.